Molecule: ribosomal RNA, 155 nt
Filed under: uncultured Bacillota bacterium
Lineage: Bacteria; Bacillati; Bacillota
Description: uncultured Firmicutes bacterium partial 16S ribosomal RNA
Rfam family: Bacterial small subunit ribosomal RNA
Source: RNAcentral
CGCUAUGGACGAAAGUCUGACGGAGCAACGCCGCGUGAGUGAUGAAGGUUUUCGGAUCGUAAAACUCUGUUGUUAGGGAAGAACAAGUGCGAGAGUAACUGCUCGCACCUUGACGGUACCUAACCAGAAAGCCACGGCUAACUACGUGCCAGCAG